CGCUUCCGGCUUCUCAACGUUUAUUCCAUCAGGCUCAAUAUCUGUUGCGAGUUUAUUGCUUGGUGAUCUAAUUUUCAAGAUACACGUUUGCUUGUAUCCAUCAUAAAAUGAUCAUAAAAUAUUCAAAUCAUUUAUAUUCGCUUGGUUAAUUUAUUUAUAUCCCCCCGGGGGGUCCUUAUAGCGCUUCGAUAGCUUCCAGCUAGCAAGUUGGCUAGCUGUCCAUUCAGGACCAUGGCAAGUGCAUCCACUGCUAAUCUAAACGCAGUCCGAGAGACUAUGGACGUGUUACUGGAGAUCUCAAGGCUGCUCAAUACAGGCCUUGACAUGGAGUCUCUGUCGAUCUGUGUGAGAUUGUGCGAGCAGGGCAUCAACCCAGAAGCUCUGUCUUCGGUUAUCAAGGAGCUGAGGAAAGCCUCCGAGACCCUCAAGGCUCCCGAAAACUGCACGAACUAAAGAUGAAACGUUCCCUUUGGGGUCCUAAAUGGGACUGCAGCCGUCUCUUGUCCCUGCACCAUGAAAGCUCCAGCCAUUAUGGCCUCACUGUCGUCCCUCGUGUCCUGCCCUUGGGUGCAGAUGACGGUCAAUUUAAAUCCCGAAAAAAAUAGCACUCAGCAUCAGCUAGUUAUGAAUUGCUGAUGCAGCCUCCCCACUGGUGCACGCCGGGGAGAAUCAAUACAAGAGCUGUACCGUAAAGUAUCAGUUACACAUACUGCCCAUCUGGCUGAAUUUGAUCAUUUCCCCCCCUUCGAUGUUCAUGUUCACGUUCUGCAUGUCUUCCAGGGCUGCACAUUCCCCAUACAAACGCCACUGAUCUACAAGUGGAAAAGAAAAAAAAAACCUUUCACAUAAAAUGUAUGUAUUUUUUUUUAUGGCCAUGUUGCAUGUCCUAUUUGAAAUACCAUCCAUAUUGUACAUACCAGAAACCGAUUAUCCAGAUGUAUGUUGAAUGGGAUCAACAUUACAACUUGUAUGCAAGCGCACCGUGCAUUGUUUUCUUUUCUCCACUGUCUGCAAAACGGCUCUCUUCAUCUUCCAGGAGGAAAAAAAAAAAUGCUGAAAGCACACAACUUUCCUCCACAGGCCAACGUGCAGGCUUGAAGCAAAGCUCUCAUCUUCGAGGGCUUGUAUUAGGGCCUCAUUGUGUAGGUGGGGGUCCACUUCUAUGCGGGCAACUUUAUUCGCUACUGCUGCUUUAAGAUGUCUACAAAUAAGGGGGUCCCCCCCCCCUCCCCCGUCCCCCAAAUCCCCCCUACUCUUCCCACCCUUAAGCCUUCUGACAAUAACAGCCCUCAGAGGAAGUCAGCGUGUGAGCGCAUGGGUGUCGGCGUAAGCAUUUUCGGCUUUGACUGACAGGCCGGCAGUUCAAACCCUCGUGCUCCUUUUUUUUUAAAUCUGCUAACACACUUUUCUCCGUGUUCCACAUCAAGAAGAAUCAUGUCGGACUCGUAUGAAGUGCAGGGGGUUGAAGUCUUCACACUCAAGUUGAAGUAUCGAUACUUAAAAGUACUGCUUCGGUUCUUUAAAUUCAAAUAAAGUACAAUCUGAAAUGUACUAAAGUAUAUUAAAUGAGUCAAUUAUUUACAAUACUCCUUUUGAGGAAAAAAAAACCUUGCUAAAAAAAAUCUGCCACAUGCGUUUUUCAGAUUAGAGAGAGUUUUGGAUUGCCAGAAACUGGCGUUUUGUGUCCUGCCAGGGGCACAAAACGGCUUCGCUUCAGAUCA
This is an RNA transcript of Hippocampus zosterae (dwarf seahorse), 1721 nucleotides long. It is a transcript of the gene named mitotic spindle organizing protein 1, with no coding region annotated. The transcript has 4 exons. The record is from RefSeq and is a predicted model, not a curated record. Lineage: Eukaryota; Metazoa; Chordata; Actinopteri; Syngnathiformes; Syngnathidae.